RNAcentral lists this ribosomal RNA (447 nucleotides) under uncultured bacterium. RNAcentral's name for it is "bacterial SSU rRNA". It matches the Rfam family "Bacterial small subunit ribosomal RNA", at positions 338 to 795 of the family's 1533-position model. The record is from RNAcentral.
CCUANGGGAGGCAGCAGUCGAGAAUAUUCGUCAAUGGGCGAAAGCCUGAACGAGCGACACCGCGUGUAGGAAGACGGUCUUCGGAUUGUAAACUACUUUUCUAGGGGAUGAAUCUUCGGAUGACAGUACCCUAGGAAUAAGGAGGUCCUAACUCUGUGCCAGCAGGAGCGGUAAUACAGAGCCUCCAAGCGUUAUCCGGAUUUAUUGGGCGUAAAGGGUCCGUAGGUGUCUUGCCAAGUUUUCUGUUAAAUUUCCAGAGCUCAACUUUGGAACUGCAGAAAAAACUGGCGAGAUUGAGGGCACUAGGAGUUGAAGGAACGGUCGGUGUAGGGGUGAAAUCCGUUGAUAUCGACCGGAACACCAAAAGCGAAGGCAUUCAACUAAGGUGGCCCUGACGCUGAGGGACGAAAGCGUGGGGAGCAAAAAGGAUUAGAUACCCCGNUANUC